This 356-nucleotide long non-coding RNA is filed under the name Bos indicus x Bos taurus (hybrid cattle). RNAcentral's name for it is "lncRNA (ENSBIXG00000013748.1)". The record is from RNAcentral. Lineage: Eukaryota; Metazoa; Chordata; Mammalia; Artiodactyla; Bovidae.
CAGCCAUCUGACAGCGUUGGCUUCCGUGCCAGGCUCCAGACCCUGGAGAAAAGGGUUCAGAAAUGCCCGACAAAGCCCUCCCACCAGGCUCCAGGCCCCGCCUCCAACAGGACUUCUUCCCGCGGAAUCGCAUCUCUGUUAAGUAAAGAACGCCAGCCAGAUACUAUCAACGGAUGGGAACUGGCACAUCAGACUGAACGCAUUACAUGAGGAAACGCUCACGAUAUAAGCCGAGCAGAAAGAAGCAUGAUGUGCAACCCAGACCGAAGAUUAUUUUCUGCUUGAUAUAAUUCUAAUUUUGAUCCACCCUCCCCUCACCUCCACCCAACUUCACGAAGGAUUAAGAUGGGGCUACA